GAUCGAGUGAAUGCAUGGUGCCCUGGACAGGUAUAUAUAUAUAGGUAGGAGUUAUAGGAGAGGUAGGGCAUUUACACUGCGGACUUCGCUGCUGCCUUGUGGACCAGUCACUCUUCAAUUCGCUAGGAUCGUGUGUCCGUCGUUUCUGUGAGUGCAAACUAUUAGGUGAAAAACAACAACAACAACAACAACAACAACAACAACAACAACAACACCAACAACAACAUGUCGUACGUGUCUACACUCUGCUUGCUGCUGGCGGUCGCUGGCACGUCGCUGGCCGAGAGGACAAUAAUCAUGCUGAAGAAAGAAA
Priapulus caudatus is the source of this 313-nucleotide long non-coding RNA. RefSeq lists it as uncharacterized. NCBI's taxonomy places the organism in Eukaryota, Metazoa, Priapulida, Priapulimorpha, Priapulimorphida, Priapulidae. The record is from RefSeq and is a predicted model, not a curated record. The transcript is spliced from 2 exons.